GAUGAACGCUGGCGGCGUGCCUAAUACAUGCAAGUCGAGCGAACGGACGAGAAGCUUGCUUCUCUGAUGUUAGCGGCGGACGGGUAAGUAACACGUGGAUAACCUACCUAUAAGACUGGGAUAACUUCGGGAAACCGGAGCUAAUACCGGAUAAUAUUUUGAACCGCAUGGUUCAAAAGUGAAAGACGGUCUUGCUGUCACUUAUAGAUGGAUCCGCGCUGCAUUAGCUAGUUGGUAAGGUAACGGCUUACCAAGGCAACGAUGCAUAGCCGACCUGAGAGGGUGAUCGGCCACACUGGAACUGAGACACGGUCCAGACUCCUACGGGAGGCAGCAGUAGGGAAUCUUCCACAAUGGGCGAAAGCCUGACGGAGCAACGCCGCGUGAGUGAUGAAGGUCUUCGGAUCGUAAAACUCUGUUAUUAGGGAAGAACAUAUGUGUAAGUAACUGUGCACAUCUUGACGGUACCUAAUCAGAAAGCCACGGCUAACUACGUG
Molecule: ribosomal RNA, 497 nt
Filed under: uncultured bacterium
Lineage: Bacteria
Description: partial 16S ribosomal RNA
Rfam family: Bacterial small subunit ribosomal RNA
Source: RNAcentral